This is a non-coding RNA of Drosophila virilis, 2273 nucleotides long. The record is from RefSeq and is a predicted model, not a curated record. Lineage: Eukaryota; Metazoa; Arthropoda; Insecta; Diptera; Drosophilidae.
CACGGCUCCAUCGUGGUAACCUCUCUAAACAAGAAAUACAAUAACAGCCCACAGAGUACAAAUUUCAUUAAAGAAAGUACAACAUAGUAGCCCGCUCCAAAAAAUAAAAACUUAUCAACUAAAACACAUACUCGUUUGGGCAGAAAUUAAUGCGUUAUGUUAGCCUAGUGAAAUUAGAAAAUAAGACUUGAAUACAUAAUGGCAGAGAAGAGUUUAAAAUAAAGAAAUUAUAUGUGAUCUAUUGUUCCAAUAAGAGCAAUAUAGGUGGAUUAACGAAUGAAGAUGCAAGAUUAUGCUAACGAGAUUACGAGCUGCAUGAAGCUGGCCGUCUCCCACCAGGGUGUUGAUAAAAGGUUUUCGAAGAUAACUGAACUACAUUAUUCCAGCCCAAGGUAAUAUAGCAUUAUACAGAGUGGGGUGCUGAACCUCCUGCAGACCGUUAGAAAACUAAACGGUACCGUCAAUAUGGAAUGACCGAGCUCUGUAAAACCAAUAGGAGAUAGGCACUCCACCCCAGGUCCUAGGACAAAUCUAACUAGAGCAGCGUCUAGCUUAUAAGAUUGCUGCAUUUGCUAAGGAAACACCUCGUAUCCAUCGGUCAUGACCGCUUUUUAGGUUGUUUGGGAUUCAAAUUCUUUUAUUUGCAACUGAUAUGUUGUUACUAAAGCCUAGCAUUUUUUAUCAGCGUGAAGAGAUCAUUACCCCAGCCUAACAUAUAAUUCAUAUUAGUGUUUUAUGGAUAUAGGCAAAAAAGAGAGCCAAUCUCCCGCGAUAAGAGGGAAAGUAUAGAAAACGAAUACAGAAUCGAUUUCUAGCAGAGCUCAAAGAUAGCAGGGAGCCACCACAAUGUAGGCUGACUUUAGCACAGAUUAGAAGUAAUCGCCCGCAACAAUAAACGCUACGCCGAGACGCAUAAAAUUUUAAUGCAACAACUUGUAGCCAAGGUUAAUAAAUGAAUAACAACUAAAAUACGGCUGUUGGGGUUCUUUCUCCAUGUUUGCUUCGGAUUCGCUUCCAUCACUGCAAAACUAAAGCAAGACAAGCCCAAGACCAUCCUAUUGGGAAUGCAAAAGCAAUUUUCUGGAUUAGCGGUGAAAGAUUUUAAGCAAUUUGUUGAUAAUAUUAGAUCUGAAAAUUGUACCUAAAUCUCUGUAAAACAAAAAAAAAGGAUAUUAAUCCACCAAAUGCGAAACUAAGGGAGAGCCAUGACAAAACCGUGCCGGAGGUAGCCGACAGUGCAUCGUCGUCAGUGGAGUGUAGCCGCACCACUAACUCAGGUUGUAAUUUUCCCUCGUAGUGCUAUUUCUCCUGACUGUCCCAGCGGACUGGCUGAACGCACUGUUGCCGCAUCUAACACCAUGGAAAGUUAAAAUUCUGGAGGCACUACCAGAGGAAAUAAAUAAAAUAAUAAAUAGACUCAUAUUUUUGCCAGCUACUGCCCAGCGUCUGAAAAGGACAAGAAGACCUUUCGACUGUUAGAUUAACGAGUUCUCUACAGAGAGCAGAGGCUGUUACAAUCGCCAUGGGGCAGCUAAGAAACCACAAAUUAAAAUUUGAACUUUGCUUGGGUAAAAAAGAUUGCAGCACAGUGUAGCGAGCUCCGUCGCCCGGAAAGGCGCUUAUUUUAAAUAAACGAGUCACUUAUACAGCCCUUGUAUAUAUAUGAAAUCAAUUUUCCACUAGAAUCACUUUGCCCCAAAUUCAAGCAACAAAUUUGAGUGAUCGAAUCGGAGUAUGACACUAAUGUGCUCUAUUAAACGAAGCACCCAUUAAAGGUGCUCACAAAAGAUCCGGACGGUCAAUCGAUAUAUUCCCUGGUGGAAUAACACUACAACAUUCUAUAACCUCUAUAACAAAGAUCUAAGAAGAACCACUGUGGAAGAAUCAAAAGGCAAUUGACAAAUAUUGCUCAAAAGGGAUAUGUACACUUAAGAAGCCAGAUGGUAGCAAAUGAGGGCAAACUGCUGGAAACUCACUUUCCGGGCUGUGUGGCACAGAAGCGAAGGUGAAAAUUCUCGCUACCAUCGAAAUGAGAAAGAGAUGGGGCAGUACAUCCCAGGAACCCAGAAUCGACGACCCCGCAAUGGUGUUUCAUUAAAGUAGUGUGGCCAUGAAAACCUUUAGUCCAAAUUAACCUUUAGGACUAAAUGGCACACGUCUAUGCUUUUUAAGGCAUGCAAUGGAUUAAGUUGUUUCCACUUCGGUCCUAAUAUUUACCGUUUACAGUUUCAUUUCAAAUAAAUAUAGGCCAUAGGCCAAGAAAUAAGUACUAA